RNAcentral lists this ribosomal RNA (468 nucleotides) under uncultured bacterium. Its description in RNAcentral is "partial 16S ribosomal RNA". It matches the Rfam family "Bacterial small subunit ribosomal RNA", at positions 28 to 507 of the family's 1533-position model. The record is from RNAcentral.
GACGAACGCUGGCGGCGUGCUUAACACAUGCAAGUCGAACGAAAAGGCCCUGCUUUUGUGGGUGUCACGGUUGCGGAAGGGGGGAGAAAAACGUGGGUAACCUCCCCUUACCUUUGGGAUAACUCUAGGAAAAAGGGGCUAUAACCGCAUAGAACCUCUUGCUCCAUGUGGGGGUUUGGAAAAUUUCGGCGGUGGGGGAUGGCAUAGCGGCUUACCAGCUUGUUGGUGGGGUAGGGGCUUACCAAGGUUUUGACGGGUAGCCGGCCUGAGAGGGUGACCGGCCACAUUGGGACUGAGAUACGGCCCAGACUCCUACGGGAGGCAGCAGUGGGGAAUAUGGCACAAUGGGCGGAAGCCUGAUGCAGCAACGCCGCGUGCGGGAUGACGGCCUUCGGGUUGUAAACCGCUUUCGCCUGUGACGAAGCGUGAGUGACGGUAAUGGGUAAAGAAGCACCGGCUAACUACGUG